CUACGGGUGGCUGCAGUGGGGAAUAUUGGACAAUGGGCGAAAGCCUGAUUCAGCCAUGCCGCGUGUGUGAAGAAGGCCUUCGGGUUGUAAAGCACUUUCAGUGGGGAAGAAAGCCUUGGGGCUAAUACCCUCGAGGAAGGACAUCACCCACAGAAGAAGCACCGGCUAACUCCGUGCCAGCAGCCGCGGUAAUACGGAGGGUGCGAGCGUUAAUCGGAAUUACUGGGCGUAAAGCGCGCGUAGGCGGUCUGAUAAGCCGGUUGUGAAAGCCCCGGGCUCAACCUGGGAACGGCAUCCGGAACUGUCAGGCUAGAGUGCAGGAGAGGAAGGUAGAAUUCCCGGUGUAGCGGUGAAAUGCGUAGAGAUCGGGAGGAAUACCAGUGGCGAAGGCGGCCUUCUGGACUGACACUGACGCUGAGGUGCGAAAGCGUGGGUAGCAAACAGGAUUAGAUACCCGAGUAGUC
This 464-nucleotide ribosomal RNA is filed under the name Vreelandella stevensii. Its description in RNAcentral is "partial 16S ribosomal RNA". It matches the Rfam family "Bacterial small subunit ribosomal RNA", at positions 339 to 795 of the family's 1533-position model. Lineage: Bacteria; Pseudomonadati; Pseudomonadota; Gammaproteobacteria; Oceanospirillales; Halomonadaceae. The record is from RNAcentral.